Long non-coding RNA from Humulus lupulus (European hop), 201 nucleotides. RefSeq lists it as uncharacterized. The transcript has 3 exons. The record is from RefSeq and is a predicted model, not a curated record. Lineage: Eukaryota; Viridiplantae; Streptophyta; Magnoliopsida; Rosales; Cannabaceae.
CAGGGUGAGAAAGAAUGUCCAUAUUACAUGCGAUAUCCAUACAUCUGCCAUUUUUGUCAAGGUCUGCUGCUAUUUUCCGGGAGUGUUUUGAUCCUAUUGUAGCAAGAUCUGGUCGUGAUUUGAUUCCUGUUAUGGUGUAUGGAAGAAACAUUUAUGGUCAAGAGUUUGGAGGAAUGUACUGUGUAGUUUUAACUGUGAGGU